AGCAAAUUCUUUCAUAUGAAACAACAAAGUCUCAUCCAACCGCAUCGCUAAUAACUAAAACGAAACACAAAACAAAUAAAGAUCAGUUGAUUACUUUCUUCGCAUUUGUUAUGAAAUACUAGUCUUCCAUUAUGUUGAUAUACUAGGAACACCUUCAUCUUGCUAGCAUUGAAUGCCAGGAGAUCUGCUUGCCUAAGCUAUCAGCUGACAUUGGGUUUCAAGUAAGUCAUCUGAGCAUAUAUUCCUCAAUCAUAAGCAUAACGAGGGGAUACUUGGUUGUAACGUAUCCAGAUGUUGUGGCUAUAUGGACAUUUCUCCCAACAAACAACAGGAUAGAAUGAACUCCACAGGAAAAUACUGCCCUGAUGAUUGGUUGCAAAAACAAGGGAAGGGCUACAAGUUUGACAUAAGCUUUAAGUCAUGGAUUGAUAGUGAAAUAUCCUGUGCAGUCAAGAAAUCACAUCUCUUGGUGAUCAAAGACAAGGGAGAAUUGGUUUGGACAAAAGAAAUCAGAAGUGUUUUCAUAGCUGAUGCUCAGCUGGGUCUUCCUUCUCAGGAUUUCAUUCAGAGUAAAAUUCAUGAUGAAAUGUACUUUUGGAUUGGGUGA
This 607-nucleotide long non-coding RNA is filed under the name Mus musculus (house mouse). RNAcentral's name for it is "predicted gene, 47861". Lineage: Eukaryota; Metazoa; Chordata; Mammalia; Rodentia; Muridae. The record is from RNAcentral.